This 863-nucleotide ribosomal RNA is filed under the name Sclerococcum parasiticum. RNAcentral's name for it is "partial large subunit ribosomal RNA". It matches the Rfam family "Eukaryotic large subunit ribosomal RNA", at positions 297 to 1000 of the family's 3401-position model. Lineage: Eukaryota; Fungi; Ascomycota; Eurotiomycetes; Sclerococcales; Dactylosporaceae. The record is from RNAcentral.
UGGUAAAUUUCAUCUAAAGCUAAAUAUNNGGGCCAGGAGACCGAUAGCGCACAAGUAGAGUGAUCGAAAGAUGAAAAGCACUUUGAAAAGAGAGUUAAAAAGCAUGUGAAAUUGUUGAAAGGGAAGCGCUUGCCGCCAGACUUGUUUAUGGGGUUCAGCCGUCGUUCUCGGCGGUGUAUUUCCCUAUCAUCAGGCCAGCAUCAGUUUGGGUGGAAGGUUAAAGGCCUUGGGAAUGUACCAUCCCCCGGGAUGACUUAUAGCCCUCGGCGUAAUGCUUCCUACCUAGACUGAGGCACGCGUUCGCUAGGAUGCUGGCGUAAUGGCUGUAAGCGACCCGUCUUGAAACACGGACCAAGGAGUCUAACAUCUAUGCGAGUAUUUGGGUGUCAAACCCAUAUGCGUAAUGAAAGUGAACGGAGGUGGGAACCUUGUAGGCGCACCAUCGACCGAUCCAGAUGUCUUCGGAUGGAUUUGAGUAAGAGCAUAGCUGUUGGGACCCGAAAGAUGGUGAACUAUGCCUGAAUAGGGUGAAGCCAGAGGAAACUCUGGUGGAGGCUCGCAGCGGUUCUGACGUGCAAAUCGAUCGUCAAAUUUGGGUAUAGGGGCGAAAGCAGUCUUUCGUCGAUAUUUAACAAUUAGUCCAUAGUGGCGAGGCUUGUGGUCUGYRGGGAUCAACUGUAGUUAUGCCCGCACUUAUUGUAAUAGGUCACAGAUCAAGUACAGGUCGGCAUCAAUCUUCGGGUGUUCUAGAUAUGAUCGGUGGUGAAGUUUAGGCUUCCUCCGUUAAYGAGACUAAUCGAACCAUCUAACAAGCUAUUGGAUGGCACUCAGUCCUCAACCAUUGCGGGGGGGCAACGUCAAGA